GUCGAGAAUCUUUCACAAUGGGGGCAACCCUGAUGGAGCGACGCCGCGUGGAGGAUAAGGUCUUCGGAUUGUAAACUCCUGUCAUGCGUGAACAAGGUUGCUUGGUUAAUACCUGGGCAAAUUGAUGGUAACGCAAGAGGAAGAGACGGCUAACUCUGUGCCAGCAGCCGCGGUAAUACAGAGGUCUCAAGCGUUGUUCGGAAUCACUGGGCGUAAAGGGUGCGUAGGUGGCGUGGUAAGUCAGAUGUGAAAGCCCGGGGCUCAACCUCGGAACUGCAUCCGAUACUGCCAUGCUAGAGUACUGGAGGGGUGAAUAGAAUUCUCGGUGUAGCAGUGAAAUGCGUAGAUAUCGAGAGGAAUACCAAAGGCGUAGGCAGGUCACUGGACAGUUACUGACACUGAGGCACGAAGGCCAGGGGAGCGAACGGGAUUAGAUACCCGUGUAGUCC
This 449-nucleotide ribosomal RNA is filed under the name uncultured bacterium. RNAcentral describes it as "partial 16S ribosomal RNA". It matches the Rfam family "Bacterial small subunit ribosomal RNA", at positions 354 to 796 of the family's 1533-position model. The record is from RNAcentral.